GACGAACGCUGGCGGCGUGCUUAACACAUGCAAGUCGAACGGAAAGGCCCUGCUUGCAGGGUACUCGAGUGGCGAACGGGUGAGUAACUGGUGGGUGAUCUGCCCUGCACUUCGGCAUAAGCCUGGGAAACGGGGUCUAAUACCGGAUAGGAGCCAUUUUUAGCGUGAUGGUUGGAAAGUUUUUUCGGUGUUGGAUGAGCUGGCGGCCUAAUGGCUUGUUGGUGGGGUAAUGGCCUACCAAGGCGGCGACGGGUAGCCGGCCUGUGAGGGUGGACGGCCGCAUUGGGUCUGAGAUGCGGCCCAGACUCGGACGGGUGGCAACAGUGGGGAAGCCUGAACAAUGGGCGCAGGGCUGGUGCAGCGGGGCCGCGUGGGGGAUGACGGCCUUCUGGUUGAAGAAAACUUUCGCUAGGGACGAAGCUUGUUGUGACGGUACCUAGAUAAGAAGCACCGGCUAACUACGUG
RNAcentral lists this ribosomal RNA (465 nucleotides) under uncultured bacterium. RNAcentral describes it as "partial 16S ribosomal RNA". It matches the Rfam family "Bacterial small subunit ribosomal RNA", at positions 28 to 507 of the family's 1533-position model. The record is from RNAcentral.